Molecule: transfer RNA, 69 nt
Filed under: Ictidomys tridecemlineatus (thirteen-lined ground squirrel)
Lineage: Eukaryota; Metazoa; Chordata; Mammalia; Rodentia; Sciuridae
Description: Spermophilus tridecemlineatus (thirteen-lined ground squirrel) tRNA
Rfam family: tRNA
About the family: Transfer RNA (tRNA) molecules are approximately 80 nucleotides in length.
Source: Rfam by way of RNAcentral
GGUGCUAUAGCUCAGUGGUAGAGCACUUGCCUAGCAUGCAUGAGGCACUGGAUUCGAUCCUCAGCACCA